MicroRNA precursor from Cricetulus griseus (Chinese hamster), 94 nucleotides. NCBI's taxonomy places the organism in Eukaryota, Metazoa, Chordata, Mammalia, Rodentia, Cricetidae. The record is from Ensembl.
GGGCUGGAAUGUAACUCAGUGGUGGAGUGCUUGCCUAGUAUAUAUGAGGCCCUGAGUUCAGUCCAGCCCCACAAUAAAAAAGAUUUCUAAUAUA